GUAAUACGAGUAGCACUAGUGGUACCCGUGAAUAUUGAGCUUAAAGCGUUCGUAGCCGGUCGAGUCAGUUUCCUGUGAAAUCUGCGGGCUUAACCCGCUUAGGCGUGCAGGAAAUACUGCUCGGCUAGGGAACGGGGGAGGUCAGGAGUACUCUAGGGGAGCGGUAAAAUGCUGUAAUCCUUGGAGGACUAACGAUGGCGAAGGCACCUGACUAAAACGUGUCCGACGGUGAGGGACGAAGGCUAGGGGAGCGAACGGGAUUAGAUACCCCGGUAGUCCUAGCAGUAAAUGAUGCAGAUUUGGCGUUGCAUUCACCACGAGUGGGUGCAGUGCCGUAGGGAAACCGUUUAAUCUGCCGCUUGGGGAGUACGAUCGCAAGAUUGAAACUUAAAGGAAUUGGCGGGGGAGCACCACAAGGGGUGGAUGCUGCGGUUCAAUCGGACUCAACGCCGAGAAACUUACCAAGAGAGACGGCAGAAUGAAGCCCAGGCUAAAGACCUUGGCUAACGAGCCGAGAGGUGUUGCAUGGCCAGCGUCAGUUCGUGUCGUGAGGUGUCAGGUUAAGUCCUGCAACGAACGAGAUCUCCGUCAACAGUUGCCAGUCGUUCCUCCGGGGGCGGCGCACUCUGUUGAGACUGCCUGCGUUAAGUGGGAGGAAGGAGGAGGCGACGCUAGGUCUGUAUGGCCCGAAUCUCUUGGGCCACACGUGGCAUACAAAGGCGCGGACAAUGGGUUCCGACACCGAAAGGUGGAGGCAAUCCCCUAAACCGCGUCCCAGUCCAGAUUGGGGGCUGAAACUCGUCCCCAUGAAGUUGGAAUCCCUAGUAAUCGCGUGUCAACAUCGCGCGGUGAAUAUGUCCCCGCUCCUUGCA
RNAcentral lists this ribosomal RNA (872 nucleotides) under uncultured archaeon. RNAcentral describes it as "bacterial SSU rRNA". It matches the Rfam family "Archaeal small subunit ribosomal RNA", at positions 470 to 1341 of the family's 1478-position model. The record is from RNAcentral.